CCUACGGGAGGCAGCAGUGAGGAAUAUUGGUCAAUGGUCGGGAGACUGAACCAGCCAAGCCGCGUGAGGGAGGAAGGUACAGAGUAUCGUAAACCUCUUUUGUCAGGGAACAAAGGCGGGGACGUGUCCCCGGAUGAGUGUACCUGAAGAAAAAGCAUCGGCUAACUCCGUGCCAGCAGCCGCGGUAAUACGGAGGAUGCGAGCGUUAUCCGGAUUUAUUGGGUUUAAAGGGGUCGCAGGCGGUCUGUUAAGUCAGAGGUAAAAGCCCGGGGCUCAACCCCGGCCAGCCGUUGAAACUGGCAGUCUCGAGUUGGAGAGAAGUAUGCGGAAUGCGCGGUGUAGCGGUGAAAUGCAUAGAUAUCGCGCAGAACUCCGAUUGCGAAGGCAGCAUGCCGGCUCCACACUGACGCUGAGGCACGAAAGCGUGGGUAUCGAACAGGAUUAGAUACCCUUGUAGUC
This 459-nucleotide ribosomal RNA is filed under the name uncultured bacterium. RNAcentral describes it as "partial 16S ribosomal RNA". It matches the Rfam family "Bacterial small subunit ribosomal RNA", at positions 338 to 795 of the family's 1533-position model. The record is from RNAcentral.